Molecule: ribosomal RNA, 292 nt
Filed under: uncultured bacterium
Lineage: Bacteria
Also listed under: 1 other name
Description: partial 16S ribosomal RNA
Source: RNAcentral
GGACUACUGGGGUAUCUAAUCCUGUUUGAUCCCCACACUUUCGUGCCUCAGCGUCAAUUUUAGUUUAGCCAGCUGCCUUCGCAAUCGGUGUUCUGUGUCAUAUCUAAGCAUUUCACCGCUACACGACACAUUCCGCCAACCUCAACUAAAUUCAAGACUAAUAGUAUCAAUGGCAGUUUCCGAGUUAAGCUCGGAGUUUUCACCACUGACUUAAAAGCCCGCCUACGCACCCUUUAAACCCAGUAAAUCCGGAUAACGCUUGCACCCUCCGUAUUACCGCGGCUGCUGGCAC